GACGAACGCUGGCGGCGUGCUUAACACAUGCAAGUCGAACGAGAGCGUAGAGAAAGCUUGCUUUUUCUACAAUCUAGUGGUAAACGGGUGAGUACGCGUAAACAACCUGCCCUACGGAUGGGGACAACAGCUGGAAACGGCUGCUAAUACCGAAUACGUUCCGAAAGUCGCAUGACUAUCGGAAGAAAGGAUGGCCUCUAUUUAUAAGCUAUCGCCGGAGGAGGGGUUUGCGUCUGAUUAGCUAGUUGGAGGGGUAACGGCCCACCAAGGCGACGACCAGUAGCCGGUCUGAGAGGAUGAACGGCCACAUUGGAACUGAGACACGGUCCAGACUCCUACGGGAGGCAGCAGUGGGGAAUCUUCCGCAAUGGGCGAAAGCCUGACGGAGCAACGCCGCGUGAGUGAAGACGGCCUUCGGGUUGUAAAGCUCUGUUAUACGGGACGAAUAAUCUUGUGGUUAAUACCCAUGAGAAGUGACGGACCGAAGAGAAAGCCACGCAUC
Molecule: ribosomal RNA, 502 nt
Filed under: Megasphaera micronuciformis
Lineage: Bacteria; Bacillati; Bacillota; Negativicutes; Veillonellales; Veillonellaceae
Description: bacterial SSU rRNA
Rfam family: Bacterial small subunit ribosomal RNA
Source: RNAcentral